AUGUGGCAGAAUAAAUGCACUAAAUUUAAGAUUUAACUAUGAAUUCCUUUAGAA
This 54-nucleotide transfer RNA is filed under the name Calophya shinjii. RNAcentral's name for it is "tRNA-Leu". The record is from RNAcentral. Lineage: Eukaryota; Metazoa; Arthropoda; Insecta; Hemiptera; Calophyidae.